CGUUGAAGGUGUUACACCUCGCGCUUUGCCUGACUUACCUGUUGCUUGUCGUCUAUCCGGAUUAGAGCCAUUAACGAUUGAGAAAGAGACUUUGUUCAUCAAUGUCGGUGAGCGAACUAACGUCACAGGUUCCGCUCGCUUCAAACGUUUGAUCAAAGAGGAACAGUAUGAUGAAGCAUUAGAAGUCGCGCGUCAGCAAGUUGAAAAUGGUGCCCAAAUCAUCGACAUCAACAUGGAUGAGGGGAUGUUAGAUGCACAGGCUUGUAUGGUGCGUUUUCUAAACCUAUGUGCCUCUGAACCAGAAAUUUCCAAAGUACCAAUCAUGGUCGACUCUUCCAAAUGGGAAGUGAUCGAAGCGGGUCUGAAAUGCAUUCAAGGUAAAGGCAUUGUGAACUCUAUCUCUUUGAAGGAAGGUAAAGAGAAGUUUGUUGAGCAAGCUAAACUGAUCCGUCGUUAUGGCGCAGCUGUGAUCGUCAUGGCAUUCGAUGAGGUCGGUCAGGCAGAAACACGCGCGCGCAAGCUAGAAAUUUGUACCAACGCUUAUCGUAUCUUGGUAGACGAAGUUGGCUUCCCGCCAGAAGAUAUUAUUUUGACCCGAACAUUUUGCCGUUGCAACGGGUAUUGAUGAGCAUAAUAACUACGCUGUUGAUUUCAUCGAAGCGGUAGCGGACAUCAAACGCGAUCUGCCACACGCGAUGAUUUCCGGAGGUGUGUCGAAUGUUUCUUUCUCUUUCCGUGGCAAUAACUACGUUCGUGAGGCUAUCCAUGCCGGUGUUCCUCUAUCACUGUUUUAAAAAUGGUAUGGAUAUGGGAUCGUAAACGCGGGUCAACUUGAAAUUUAUGACAACGUUCCGGAAAAACUACGAGAAGCGGUAGAAGACGUAGUGCUUAACCGUCGAGAUGACGCUACAGAAAAGAUUGUUGGAUAUCGCGGCUGAGUACGCAGAUAAAAGGCGUUGGCAAAGAAGAAGAUGCCUCUGCGCUUGAGUGGCGAACUUGGCCUGUCGCGAAACGCUUAGAGCAUGCGUUAGUUAAAGGGAUCACAGACAGCCAUCAUUUAAAGAAAGCGUAAUAGCUCACUGGUCGAGUCGGCCUGCGCGGAAGAUGUAACGGGGCUAAGUAGUAAACCGAAGCUGCGGCAAUAUACUUUUGUAUAUUGGGUAGGGGAGCGUUCUGUAAGCGGUUGAAGGUGUGUGGUAACGCAUGCUGGACGUAUCAGAAGUGCGAAUGCUGACAUGAGUAACGAUAAAGGGGGUGAAAAACCUCCUCGCCGGAAGACCAAGGGUUCCUGUCCAACGUUAAUCGGGGCAGGGUAAGUCGACCCCUAAGGCGAGGCCGAAAGGCGUAGUCGAUGGGAAACGGGUUAAUAUUCCCGUACUUCUUACAAUUGCGAUGGGGGACGGAGAAGGCUAGGUGGGCCUGGCGACGGUUGUCCAGGUUCAAGUGCGUAGGCUUAAGAGUUAGGUAAAUCCGGCUCUUUUUAAGGCUGAGACACGACGUCGAGCUACUACGGUAGUGAAGUCAUUGAUGCCAUGCUUCCAGGAAAAGCCUCUAAGCUUCAGAUUGUAAGGAAUCGUACCCCAAACCGACACAGGUGGUCGGGUAGAGAAUACCAAGGCGCUUGAGAGAACUCGGGUGAAGGAACUAGGCAAAAUGGUACCGUAACUUCGGGAGAAGGUACGCUCUCGACGGUGAAGUCCCUCGCGGAUGGAGCUAUUGAGAGUCGCAGAUACCAGUGGCUGCAACUGUUUUAUUAAAACACAGCACUGUGCAAAAUCGUAAGAUGACGUAUACGGUGUGACGCCUGCCCGGUGCCGGAAGGUUAAUUGAUGGGGUUAGACUUCGGUCGAAGCUCUUGAUUCGAAGCCCCGGUAAACGGCGGCCGUAACUAUAACGGUCCUAAGGUAGCGAAAUUCCUUGUCGGGUAAGUUCCGACCUGCACGAAUGGCGUAAUGAUGGCCACGCUGUCUCCACCCGAGACUCAGUGAAAUUGAAAUCGCUGUGAAGAUGCAGUGUACCCGCGGCUAGACGGAAAGACCCCGUGGAACCUUUACUACAGCUUGGCACUGAACAUUGACCCUACAUGUGUAGGAUAGGUGGGAGGCUUUGAAGCACGUACGCCAGUAUGUGUGGAGCCGUCCUUGGAAAUACCACCCUUUGUAGUGUUGAUGUUCUAACGUCGACCCCUUAUCGGGGUUGCGGACAGUGCCUGGUGGGUAGUUUGACUGGGGCGGUCUCCUCCCAAAGAGUAACGGAGGAGCACGAAGGUGGGCUAAUCACGGUUGGACAUCGUGAGGUUAGUGCAAUGGCAUAAGCCCGCUUGACUGCGAGAAUGACAAUUCGAGCAGGUGCGAAAGCAGGUCAUAGUGAUCCGGUGGUUCUGAAUGGAAGGGCCAUCGCUCAACGGAUAAAAGGUACUCCGGGGAUAACAGGCUGAUACCGCCCAAGAGUUCAUAUCGACGGCGGUGUUUGGCACCUCGAUGUCGGCUCAUCACAUCCUGGGGCUGAAGUCGGUCCCAAGGGUAUGGCUGUUCGCCAUUUAAAGUGGUACGCGAGCUGGGUUUAGAACGUCGUGAGACAGUUCGGUCCCUAUCUGCCGUGGGCGUUGGAAGAUUGAAGGGGGCUGCUCCUAGUACGAGAGGACCGGAGUGGACGAACCUCUGGUGUUCGGGUUGUGUCGCCAGACGCAUUGCCGGUAGCUAAGUUCGGAAUCGAUAAACCGCUGAAAGCAUCUAAGCGGGAAGCGAGCCCUGAGAUGAGUCUUCCCUGAUACUUUAAGUAUCCUAAAGGGUUGUCGGAGACUACGACGUUGAUAGGUCAGGUGUGUAAGUGCUGUGAGGCAUUGAGCUAACUGAUACUAAUUGCCCGUGAGGCUUAACCAU
This 2882-nucleotide ribosomal RNA is filed under the name Vibrio parahaemolyticus. RNAcentral's name for it is "bacterial LSU rRNA". The stretch from base 494 to 2882 matches the Rfam family "Bacterial large subunit ribosomal RNA". The record is from RNAcentral. Lineage: Bacteria; Pseudomonadati; Pseudomonadota; Gammaproteobacteria; Vibrionales; Vibrionaceae.